Molecule: ribosomal RNA, 468 nt
Filed under: uncultured bacterium
Lineage: Bacteria
Description: partial 16S ribosomal RNA
Rfam family: Bacterial small subunit ribosomal RNA
Source: RNAcentral
GACGAACGCUGGCGGCGUGCUUAACACAUGCAAGUCGAACGGAAAGGCCCUGCUUUUGUGGGGUGCUCGAGUGGCGAACGGGUGAGUAACACGUGAGUAACCUGCCCUUGACUUUGGGAUAACUUCAGGAAACUGGGGCUAAUACCGGAUAGGAGCUCCUGCUGCAUGGUGGGGGUUGGACAGUUUCGGCGGUUGGGGAUGGACUCGCGGCUUAUCAGCUUGUUGGUGGGGUAGUGGCUUACCAAGGCUUUGACGGGUAGCCGGCCUGAGAGGGUGACCGGCCACAUUGGGACUGAGAUACGGCCCAGACUCCUACGGGAGGCAGCAGUGGGGAAUAUUGCACAAUGGGCGGAAGCCUGAUGCAGCACCGCCGCGUGCGGGAUGACGGCCUUCCGGUUGUAAACCGCUUUCGCCUGUGACGAAGCGUGAGUGACGGUAAUGGGUAAAGAAGCACCGGCUAACUACGUG